AAAGGGAUGCGAAGCCGUGAGGCAGAGCGAACCCCAAAAAAGACCGUCCCAGUUCGGAUCGCAGGCUGCAACCCGCCUGCGUGAAGUCGGAAUCGCUAGUAAUCGCGGAUCAGCAUGCCGCGGUGAAUACGUUCCCGGGCCUUGUACACACCGCCCGUCACACCAUGAGAGUCGGGAACACCCGAAGUCCGUAGCCUAACAGCAAUGAGGGCGCGGCCGAAGGUGGGUUCGAUAAUUGGGGUGAAGUCGUAACAAGGUACC
Molecule: ribosomal RNA, 261 nt
Filed under: uncultured bacterium
Lineage: Bacteria
Description: partial 16S ribosomal RNA
Rfam family: Bacterial small subunit ribosomal RNA
Source: RNAcentral